CAAAGCCAAAAGGUGGGAAGGGGUUCCCCCAAGGGCUCCCGGAGAAGGGAGGCUUUUCCUGGGUGUAAACCCCCUGGGGAAUAAGGGGGGGGCAAGAUGGGUGUCGCCCGCCCCGGUAACACCAGCCCUCCGAGUGGUGGGGAUGAUUAUUGGGCUUAAAGCGUCCGUAGCCGGCUUGGUAAGUCUCCCGUUAAAUUCAGCGACCCAAGCGUUGACCUGCGGGAGAUACUGCCUGGCUAGAAAGUGGGAGAGGUGUACGGUACUUUGGGGGUAGGGGCGAAAUCCUUUGAUCCCCGGAGGACCACCAGUGGCGAAGGCUGUCACUAGAACACGUCUCGACGGUCAGGGGACGAAAGCUGGGGUAGCGAACCGGAUUAGAUACCCGGGUAGUCCCAGCCGUAAACUAUGCAUGCUAGGUGUUGGGUUGGCCACGAGCCACCCCAGUGCCGCAGGAAAGCCRUUAAGCAUGCCGCCUGGGAAGUACGAUCGCAAGGUUGAAACUUUAAAGGAUUUGGCGGGG
Molecule: ribosomal RNA, 520 nt
Filed under: uncultured archaeon
Lineage: Archaea
Description: bacterial SSU rRNA
Rfam family: Archaeal small subunit ribosomal RNA
Source: RNAcentral